CUAUCGUAGUUAAGCAGAAGAAAUUAUUAUGCAUCUAGAAUUACCCGCAACAAACCGAUCCAUUUAAUUGUGGAAUAUGGACUUGUGUGAACAUGCUUUCAGCAGCUGUGGACAAUCCUCGUGUAGCCAACAACAUCAAUCCCAAUGACAUGAGGACGUAGCUAUUGCAUCGAAUUGUU
Molecule: long non-coding RNA, 179 nt
Organism: Corticium candelabrum
Lineage: Eukaryota; Metazoa; Porifera; Homoscleromorpha; Homosclerophorida; Plakinidae
Exons: 3
Source: RefSeq, a predicted model, not a curated record